AUUGAACGCUGGCGGAAUGCUUUACACAUGCAAGUCGAACGGCAGCACGGGUGCUUGCACCUGGUGGCGAGUGGCGAACGGGUGAGUAAUACAUCGGAACGUACCCAGUUGUGGGGGAUAACGAGUCGAAAGAUUCGCUAAUACCGCAUACGACCUGAGGGUGAAAGCGGGGGACCGUAAGGCCUCGCGCAAUUGGGGCGGCCGAUGUCGGAUUAGCUAGUUGGGGAGGUAAAGGCUCACCAAGGCGACGAUCAGUAGCUGGUCUGAGAGGAUGAUCAGCCACACUGGAACUGAGACACGGUCCAGACUCCUACGGGAGGCAGCAGUGGGGAAUUUUGGACAAUGGGGGAAACCCUGAUCCAGCCAUUCCGCGUGAGUGAAGAAGGCCUUCGGGUUGUAAAGCUCUUUCGGCAGGGAAGAAACGCUCUGGCUUAAUACGCCGGGGUAAUGACGGUACCUGAAGAAGAAGCACCGGCUAACUACGUGCCAGCCGCCGCAGUAA
Molecule: ribosomal RNA, 502 nt
Filed under: uncultured bacterium
Lineage: Bacteria
Description: partial 16S ribosomal RNA
Rfam family: Bacterial small subunit ribosomal RNA
Source: RNAcentral